AGAGUUUGAUCCUGGCUCAGGAUGAACGCUGGCGGCGUGCCUAACACAUUCAAGUCGAACGGAGGUAUUUUGGUAGUAAUAUCGAGAUAUCUUAGUGGCGGACGGGUGAGUAACGCGUGAGCAACCUGCCCUCGAGAGCGGGAUAACGUCGGGAAACCGACGCUAAUACCGCAUAAUGCAUGGGAAUCACAUGAUUAUCAUGCCAAAGGAGCAAUCCGCUCGGGGAUGGGCUCGCGUCCGAUUAGGCAGUUGGUGAGGUAAGGGCUCACCAAACCUACGAUCGGUAGCCGGGCUGAGAGGUCGGACGGCCACAUUGGAACUGAGAUACGGUCCAGACUCCUACGGGAGGCAGCAGUGGGGGAUAUUGGGCAAUGGGCGAAAGCCUGACCCAGCGACGCCGCGUGAGGGAAGAAGGUCUUCGGAUUGUAAACCUCUGUUGACAGGGACGAAGGCGGGGAACCGCGUGACGGUACCUGUCGAGGAAGCCACGACUAACUACGUGCCAGCAGUCGCGGUAAUACGUAGGUGGCGAGCGUUAUCCGGAUUUACUGGGUGUAAAGGGUGUGUAGGCGGAGAUGCAAGUCAGGUGUGAAAUUCAUGGGCUCAACUCAUGAACUGCGCCUGAAACUGUGUCCCUCGAGUGUCGGAGGGGUAAACGGAAUUCCCGGUGUAGCGGUGAAAUGCGUAGAGAUCGGGAGGAACAUCGGUGGCGAAGGCGGUUUACUGGACGACAACUGACGCUGAGACACGAAAGCGUGGGGAGCAAACAGGAUU
Molecule: ribosomal RNA, 774 nt
Filed under: uncultured bacterium
Lineage: Bacteria
Description: bacterial SSU rRNA
Rfam family: Bacterial small subunit ribosomal RNA
Source: RNAcentral